RNAcentral lists this ribosomal RNA (506 nucleotides) under uncultured bacterium. RNAcentral's name for it is "partial 16S ribosomal RNA". It matches the Rfam family "Bacterial small subunit ribosomal RNA", at positions 29 to 523 of the family's 1533-position model. The record is from RNAcentral.
AGUGAACGCUGGCGGUAGGCCUAACACAUGCAAGUCGAACGGCAGCACAGGAGAGCUUGCUCUCUGGGUGGCGAGUGGCGGACGGGUGAGGAAUACAUCGGAAUCUACUUUUUCGUGGGGGAUAACGUAGGGAAACUUACGCUAAUACCGCAUACGACCUACGGGUGAAAGCAGGGGACAUUCGGGCCUUGCGCGAUUGAAUGAGCCGAUGUCGGAUUAGCUAGUUGGCGGGGUAAAGGCCCACCAAGGCGACGAUCCGUCGCUGGUCUGAGAGGAUGAUCAGCCAAACUGGAACGGAGACACGGUCCAGACUCCUAAGGGAGACAGCAGUGGGGAAUAUUGGACAAUGGGCACAAGCCUGAUCCAGCCAUACCGCGUGGGUGAAGAAGGCCUUCGGGUUGUAAAGCCCUUUUGUUGGGAAAGAAAUCCAGCUGGCUAAUACCCGGUUGGGAUGACGGUACCCAAAGAAUAAGCACCGGCUAACUUCGUGCCAGCAGCCGCGGUAA